Molecule: ribosomal RNA, 116 nt
Filed under: Mesobacillus stamsii
Lineage: Bacteria; Bacillati; Bacillota; Bacilli; Caryophanales; Bacillaceae
Source: RNAcentral
UCUGGUGGCGAUGGCGAGAAGGUCACACCCGUUCCCAUACCGAACACGGAAGUUAAGUUUCUCAGCGCCGAUGGUAGUUGGGGGUUUCCCCCUGUGAGAGUAGGACGCCGCCAGGC